This 237-nucleotide ribosomal RNA is filed under the name uncultured bacterium. RNAcentral's name for it is "partial 16S ribosomal RNA". It matches the Rfam family "Bacterial small subunit ribosomal RNA", at positions 99 to 334 of the family's 1533-position model. The record is from RNAcentral.
CGAACGGGUGAGUAACGCGUGAGGAACCUGCCUCAAAGAGGGGGACAACAGUUGGAAACGACUGCUAAUACCGCAUAAGCCCACGGGUCGGCAUCGACCUGAGGGAAAAGGAGCAAUCCGCUUUGAGAUGGCCUCGCGUCCGAUUAGCUAGUUGGUGAGGUAAUGGCCCACCAGGGCGACGAUCGGUAGCCAGACUGAGAGGUUGAACGGCCACAUUGGGACUGAGACACGGCCCAG